AACAACUCACCUGCCGAAUGAAUUAGCCCUGAAAAUGGAUGGCGCUUAAGCGGGUGACCGACACCAUGCCGUUUGAACAAUAUAACGUUCAAAUGAGUAGGAGGACGUGGUGAUUGUAGCGAAGUAUAUGUGCGAACAUAUAUUGAACGAUCACUAGUGCAGAUCUUGGUGGUAGUAGCAAAUAUUCAAGCGAGAUCCUUGAAGGGCGAAGCGGGGAAGGGUUCCACGCUAACAUUGAUUGGGCGUGGGUGAGUCGUUCCUAAGCCGAGUGGCAAUUGCUAAGUAUUGGCGAAAGGGAAGCGGGUUUACAUUCCCGCACACGGAUGUGGAGGCGGUGACGCUUUAUUGGGGCGAACACGCUGGCGAUGGCGCUGGGCAGAGUUGUCUUUUCUGUUUGACCGUUUGUGUAUGCGGUGUGGAGUCCGUUUGUUGGGAGAAACACGCGUACAUGGGCAGAGCGUCGGGGCUUAUCCGACGUCCAGCUCGCCAUCGACGGCCCUUGAAACUUUGCCUGCUGAUAUUAAGAUCCACGCCGUGGCGUACCGAUAACCGCAUCAGGUCCCCAAGGUGAACAGCCUCUGCUCAAUAUGAAAAAU
This 596-nucleotide ribosomal RNA is filed under the name Gelidiella acerosa. RNAcentral describes it as "eukaryotic LSU rRNA". It matches the Rfam family "Eukaryotic large subunit ribosomal RNA", at positions 1284 to 1900 of the family's 3401-position model. Lineage: Eukaryota; Rhodophyta; Florideophyceae; Gelidiales; Gelidiellaceae. The record is from RNAcentral.